RNAcentral lists this ribosomal RNA (495 nucleotides) under uncultured bacterium. RNAcentral's name for it is "partial 16S ribosomal RNA". It matches the Rfam family "Bacterial small subunit ribosomal RNA", at positions 28 to 507 of the family's 1533-position model. The record is from RNAcentral.
GAUGAACGCUGGCGGCGUGCCUAAUACAUGCCAGUAGAACGCUGAAGGAGGAGCUUGCUCCUCUGGAUGAGUUGCGAACGGGUGAGUAACGCGUAGGUAACCUGCCUGGUAGCGGGGGAUAACUAUUGGAAACGAUAGCUAAUACCGCAUGACAACAGUUAUUGCAUGAUAACUGUUUAAAAGGGGCAACUGCUCCACUACCAGAUGGACCUGCGUUGUAUUAGCUAGUUGGUGAGGUAACGGCUCACCAAGGCGACGAUACAUAGCCGACCUGAGAGGGUGAUCGGCCACACUGGGACUGAGACACGGCCCAGACUCCUACGGGAGGCAGCAGUAGGGAAUCUUCGGCAAUGGACGGAAGUCUGACCGAGCAACGCCGCGUGAGUGAAGAAGGUUUUCGGAUCGUAAAGCUCUGUUGUAAGAGAAGAACGAGUGUGAGAGUGGAAAGUUCACACUGUGACGGUAUCUUACCAGAAAGGGACGGCUAACUACGUG